AAUAGCGGCCUCAUUUGACGUUAGCUGCAGAAGAAGCUACCGGCUAACUCCGUGCCAGCAGCCGCGGUAAUACGGAGGGUGCGAGCGUUAAUCGGAAUUACUGGGCGUAAAGCGCAUGCAGGUGGUUUGUUAAGUCAGAUGUGAAAGCCCGGGGUCUCAACCUCGGAAUUGCAUUUGAAACUGGACAGACGUAGAGUACUGUAGAGGGGGUAGAAUUUCAGGUGUAGCGGUGAAAUGCGUAGAGAUCUGAAGGAAUACCGGUGGCGAAGGCGGCCCCCUGGACAGAUACUGACACUCAGAUGCGAAAGCGUGGGGAGCAAACAGGAUUAGAUACCCUGGUAG
This 342-nucleotide ribosomal RNA is filed under the name uncultured bacterium. RNAcentral describes it as "bacterial SSU rRNA". It matches the Rfam family "Bacterial small subunit ribosomal RNA", at positions 455 to 793 of the family's 1533-position model. The record is from RNAcentral.